Molecule: ribosomal RNA, 410 nt
Filed under: uncultured Hyphomicrobiales bacterium
Lineage: Bacteria; Pseudomonadati; Pseudomonadota; Alphaproteobacteria; Hyphomicrobiales
Description: bacterial SSU rRNA
Rfam family: Bacterial small subunit ribosomal RNA
Source: RNAcentral
GCGUGAGUGAUGAAGGCCUUCGGGUUGUAAAGCUCUUUCGGUCGGGACGAUAAUGACGGUACCGAUAGAAGAAGCCCCGGCUAACUUCGUGCCAGCAGCCGCGGUAAUACGAAGGGGGCUAGCGUUGUUCGGAAUUACUGGGCGUAAAGUGCGCGUAAGCGGUUGGGUAAGUCAGGGGUGAAAUCCCUGGGCUCAACCCUGGAACUGCCUUUGAUACUGGACCUCUUGAGUCCGGGAGAGGUGAGUGGAAUUGCGAGUGUAGAGGUGAAAUUCAUAGAUAUUCGGAAGAACACCAGUGGCGAAGGCGGCUCACUGGCCCGGUACUGACGCUGAGGCGCGAAAGCGUGGGGAGCAAACAGGAUUAGAUACCCUGGUAGUCCACGCCGUAAACGAUGGAUGCUAGCCGUUGG